GGCUCAAGUGAUUCUCCUGCCUCAGCCUCCAGAAUAGCUAGGACUACAGAUACAUGCCACUGCACUAGGUAACUGCUUGUUUAUUUUCAUAUAUUUCAUUCAUGCAAAUGGUUCUCCUCAUUUCUCCAUUUAUGCCUCCUCAGUCAUCACAGUAAACCCAAAUUUUGGAAAAUAAAAGCACUAUAGAUGGUGUGGAUUUACUGUGCAAUUGUGUACAUACCUUUCCUGAAUCUUUCUGAGGUUUCCUGGGUGAACCGGCUUCCAUCUUCUCUGUUGCCCCUCCAUAGAGCAUUUUAUGUGGCCGUCAUCAGCUGUUUCCUCUAAUAAUGUCUCCCAUACACUUCACAUAUUCCAGAAAUCUGCUUACAUCUCUUAUCAUGUAGCAUGACCACCAAUUUUAUGUCACAAUUGCUACCAUAAAAUGACCUUUGGUGAUUUUUGCUGCAUGUGGUGGACAGCUCUUCCUUCACAUUAGUGCUCUGUGGCUUUCUUUGCAGACUAUUAUGCUGUCUAAAGCUUAUUUGGCACUGUCGUGAGCCUCAACCCUUGCUAUUACCCCGAAGGCCUGUCUUAAAAAAAAAAAUCUCAUGCUCUAUUACGCCACUCCAAU
This 610-nucleotide long non-coding RNA is filed under the name Homo sapiens (human). Its description in RNAcentral is "non-protein coding lnc-SIX2-7:1". The record is from RNAcentral. Lineage: Eukaryota; Metazoa; Chordata; Mammalia; Primates; Hominidae.